GGGCGCUUAGCUCAGUUGGUUAGAGCGAGUGACUUACAUUCACUAGGCCAGGGGUUCAAGUCCUCUAGCGCCCA
This 74-nucleotide transfer RNA is filed under the name Candidatus Omnitrophota bacterium. Its description in RNAcentral is "Candidatus Omnitrophica bacterium tRNA-Val". It matches the Rfam family "tRNA". From Rfam's summary of the family: Transfer RNA (tRNA) molecules are approximately 80 nucleotides in length. Lineage: Bacteria; Pseudomonadati; Candidatus Omnitrophota. The record is from RNAcentral.